RNAcentral lists this ribosomal RNA (253 nucleotides) under uncultured bacterium. RNAcentral describes it as "partial 16S ribosomal RNA". It matches the Rfam family "Bacterial small subunit ribosomal RNA", at positions 524 to 776 of the family's 1533-position model. The record is from RNAcentral.
UACGUAGGGUGCGAGCGUUGCCCGGAUUUAUUGGGCGUAAAGGGCGCGUAGGCGGCUCUGCACGUCCGUUGUGAAAUCGCCCGGCUCAACUGGGCGGGGUCAGCGGAUACGGCGGAGCUUGAGCAAGCUAGGGGGCAAUGGAAUUCCCGGUGUAGUGGUGGAAUGCGUAGAUAUCAGGAGGAACACCGGUGGCGAAGGCGGGUCUCUGGGCCGUUACUGACGCUGAGGAGCGAAAGCGUGGGGAGCGAACAGG